ACCAGCUCUUCAAGUGGUCGGGAUAAUUAUUGGGCUUAAAGUGUCCGUAGCCGGUUUAGUAAGUUCCUGGUAAAAUCGGGUAGCUUAACUAUCUGCAUGCUAGGAAUACUGUUAUACUAGAGGGCGGGAGAGGUCUGAGGUACUACAGGGGUAGGGGUGAAAUCUUAUAAUCCUUGUAGGACCACCAGUGGCGAAGGCGUCAGACUGGAACGCGCCUGACGGUGAGGGACGAAAGCCAGGGGAGCGAACCGGAUUAGAUACCCGGGUAGUCCUGGCCGUAAACGAUGCAUACUAGGUGAUGGCACGGCCAUGAGCCAUGUCAGUGCCGUAGGGAAACCGUUAAGUGUGCCGCCUGGGAAGUACGGUCGCAAGGCUAAAAACUUAAAGGAAUUGGCGGGGGAGCACCACAAGGGGUGAAGCCUGCGGUUU
RNAcentral lists this ribosomal RNA (429 nucleotides) under uncultured archaeon. RNAcentral's name for it is "bacterial SSU rRNA". It matches the Rfam family "Archaeal small subunit ribosomal RNA", at positions 475 to 903 of the family's 1478-position model. The record is from RNAcentral.